Transfer RNA from Metarhizium anisopliae BRIP 53293, 73 nucleotides. It matches the Rfam family "tRNA". Rfam says of the family: Transfer RNA (tRNA) molecules are approximately 80 nucleotides in length. Their secondary structure includes four short double-helical elements and three loops (D, anti-codon, and T loops). The record is from Rfam. Lineage: Eukaryota; Fungi; Ascomycota; Sordariomycetes; Hypocreales; Clavicipitaceae.
GCCCCCGUGGCCUAAUGGCUAAGGCGUAAGACUUCUAAUCUUAAGACUGCGGGUUCGAGUCCCGCCGGGGGUU